CCGGCCCGUCUCGGGGCCCUGAGUCAUCGCCGCCCCCGGCCCCGACGCUGGCCUGCGGCGUCUGUUUGUGCAGAGCGAGGCCCCGCCGGCCGGGCUUGACGUCAGGCUGGCAGGGCCUGGAACGGCCCCGCAUCGCGGCCCCCUGGGGGCAGGACGACACCGCUGGGGGCCGAGGGCAGGGCACGCCUUCGGAAUCCGGCUUCGAAGCCGGCCGCCUGACCUGGGGCAAGUGCUUUCAACUCUCUGAACUUCGGUUCCUCAUCUGCCAGUUGGCAGACGCUCAGCAAAUCUUCCUAGACUCACGGGGCGAAUUGUACAGUUGGGUAAAUCGAGGCCCAGAGAUGGCAAAAGGACCGUCCAAGGUCGUACAGCCACCCGGAAUUACAAUUCUUUUCUGCCGGGUCACACGCUGUCAUCCACGUGUUACCUAAGAGAGCUUUCCAGCCUGUGCUAAGAAAACUGCCCCACAUCAUCUGCAGUAGGACGGGGGAGUUGGAGCCCUGGUCAGGCCACUCUGCUACUGACCACAGUUUUCUCAUCUCUAAAAAGGCGCAGUAACAAUAUAAUUACCGUAUGCAGUCCCCCAGGAUACAGGGUCAAAGGAGAGCACAACCAUCGCAGUUGGAAGCCCAUGGGGCAGCCCAGUGCAGAUGCAUCUGACUUACGAAACUUCAGUGACACCUGCUCUGUGCCAGACACUGAAGAUGGAGCAGUGAACAGCACUGACCCAGCCUGUCCUCCUGUUGCCUGCAGGCCAGACGGAGUCUCACUCUGUCACCAGGCUGGAGUACAGUGGUGUGAUCUCGGCUCACUGCAACCUCCGCCUCCCAGGUUCAAGCGAUUCUCCUGCCUCAGCCUCUCAAGUAGCUGAGAUUACAGACGUGUGUCACCAUGCCCUGUUAAUUUUUGUUUGUUUGUUUUGUUUUUUGUUUUGUUUUGUUUCGUUUUUUGUUUUUUUUUUUUGAGACGGAGUCUUGCUCUGUCGCCCAGGCUGGAGUGCAGUGGCCCCGAUCUCGGCUCACCGCAAGCUCCGCCUCGCGGGUUCAUGCCAUUCUCCGGCCUCAGCCUCCCGAGUAGCUGGGACUACAGGCAUCCGCCACCACACCCAGCUAAUUUUUUGUAUUUUUUUUAGUAGAGACGGGGUUUCACUGUGUUAGCCAGGAUGGUCUCGAUCCCCUGACCUUGUGAUCCACCCAAGGCCUCGGCCUCCCAAAGUGCUGGGAUUACAGGCAUGAGCCACCGUGCCCGGUCAAUUUUUAUAUUUUUUGUAGAGACAGGGUUUCACCAUGUUGGCCAGGCUGGUGUCGAACUCCCGACCUCAGGUGAUUGUCGGCCUUGGCCUCCCAAAGUGCUGGGAUUACAGGCGUGAGCCACCGCGCCCAGCCGGUGGGCAGCCAGUUGUGUUCCGGGAGGAGGAGGACACCCUGGAAAGACAGUGGGGCCAGACACUGAACUGCCUUUGGAAGCAAGUAGGAGCAACAGCGAAGGUUUGCUGGCUCAGAAGCAAGGUCUCGCUGUGUUACCCUGGCUGGAGUGCAGUGGCUACUUACAGGCAUGAUCAUAGCAUACUGCAGCCUCGAACUCCUGGACUAGAGCAGUUCUCCUGCCUCAGCCUCCAGAGCAGCUGGGACUGCAGACACGCACCACAGAGCCCAGCCUGAGUCAUUUUGAUUCUGUAACUGGCUUCCUCUCGGCGGGCAGGCUCACACCCUCCACCCCCAGCUGGAGAUGGAAGGAGGAUGCUCACCGCCCAUUCCUCAUGCAGGCCAUCGAUGGAAAUGUCAGACAGUGCGAGUCCACGCCUGAACACUUCUGGGGUCCGCUCUGGGACUGACACUGGCAGAUCCAUCGAUGCCGUUCCAUUGUUUGCUGACUUUCAUUGAUUCUAUGAGAAGUCUGCAGUCUUUUGCAGCGUUGUUUUCCUAUGUAUAAUUGUCUCCUCCCACCCCACUCACCCCAGCUGCUUUCCACAUUCUCUCUCUUUGAUUUUCAGCAGUCUGCCCAUGAUGUGCCUAAAUAGGACUUUCUUUGCAUUCAUCUUGGCUGGGGCUCACUGAACUUUCUGAAUCUGUAGAUUAAUUUUCUUUUUUCAAUAAACCUUGGAAUAUUUUCAGCAUAAAAAA
RNAcentral lists this long non-coding RNA (2123 nucleotides) under Homo sapiens (human). Its description in RNAcentral is "long independently transcribed non-coding RNA 963 (LINC00963)". The record is from RNAcentral. Lineage: Eukaryota; Metazoa; Chordata; Mammalia; Primates; Hominidae.